AUUGAACGCUGGCGGCAGGCCUAACACAUGCAAGUCGAGCGGAUGAAGGGAGCUUGCUCCUGGAUUCAGCGGCGGACGGGUGAGUAAUGCCUAGGAAUCUGCCUGGUAGUGGGGGAUAACGUCCGGAAACGGGCGCUAAUACCGCAUACGUCCUGAGGGAGAAAGUGGGGGAUCUUCGGACCUCACGCUAUCAGAUGAGCCUAGGUCGGAUUAGCUAGUUGGUGGGGUAAAGGCCUACCAAGGCGACGAUCCGUAACUGGUCUGAGAGGAUGAUCAGUCACACUGGAACUGAGACAUGGUCCAGACGCCUACGGGAGGCAGCAGUGGGGAAUAUUGGACAAUGGGCGAAAGCCUGAUCCAGCCAUGCCGCGUGUGUGAAGAAGGUCUUCGGAUUGUAAAGCACUUUAAGUUGGGAGGAAGGGCAGUAAGUUAAUACCUUGCUGUUUUGACGUUACCAACAGAAUAAGCACCGGCUAACUUCGUG
This 484-nucleotide ribosomal RNA is filed under the name uncultured bacterium. Its description in RNAcentral is "partial 16S ribosomal RNA". It matches the Rfam family "Bacterial small subunit ribosomal RNA", at positions 30 to 507 of the family's 1533-position model. The record is from RNAcentral.